CAGGAAAGGCAGAAGCCCCAAGUUUGCCCAUCUGGGCAGAGGGAUCCUCCUCCUCUCAUCCCUGGAAUAGAUUUUCUACUGGAACGAAUCUGGAUUUCUCCUGGAAUUAUUGAUUGUUAUUAGUACUGUCCCUGUGUGAGCAAAGCUUUAAGCAGAAUUUUCUCCAGCUGCAUUUAUAUUCUCUUGGAGUUUGUUUUCUACCAUCCACAUUUGACUCCCAGCAUACCUGAUGGCAAAUGAAUUAAGUUCACAUGCUCAACCGUUUGCAUCGGAAGUGAUGGAUUUUACAGGGGACGAGACAUCAAUAGAUCAGGUUUCCUCAAGCCAUUUAGAAGUGCCCGAGUAUAGAGGCAAUUAAAUAAAACAUAUACAGGUCUGACUGCAUUCUUCUCAGCUAGGAACCAGACACAGAAGUGAUUAUGCAAUGCCAGUCACAAAGGUGCUGACAAAAAUUACGCUCAACGAGGCAAGCACAUUUUAUAUGGGAUCAGACACUGUUUAUUAACAAGCACGGGAGUAGCAGGGUCAUACACAGGAAGAGAAGGAAUACAUUUAUACUCUGUUCCCAGCUAAUAAAUUUUAUGGUAGCUUUAAUAUUUUUAGGUAUGCUGCUGAAGGGAAGUGUUAUGAGAGCCAAAGAGAAAGAUUUAAAAUGCUCUAAAAAGCUAUAAUCCUGUUUAUUGGAAUUUUAGUUUAGUGGGUUGCUUGCUCUGAAAUAGGCUCACAAUUAUGCCUCCAUGUAAUGUGAAUUAAACACAUCUAUCUGACCAAGGGAAAGAAAUGGUAAAUUAGGACUAGCAAUGAUUAAUAAUCAAUACAGCACAGAUUCCAGAAAUAAUUCAGCAAAAUGUUUUGCUAUUUGUCACAAACUGCACUUGAACUGAAGCAGAAAAAUCAAGCAAACCCUAUCAGCUGCCAUGCCAAGUGAAAAACUUGAGAAGCUUCCACAAAACAUGCAGGUUAAAUUAAUUGGAGGCAGUAUUCACCCUUAGGCAUCACUGCUUACCAAACUCCAGGAACUGGCUGGGAUCCCUGGGAAGUGUGGAUGUGGUGCCUCAGAGAACAGCUCCUCAGCCCCUGCCUCUACAGCAACAUCUGCUCCACCAUCACAGAGGCCACCAAAGAAGCCUGCUUAGUCUGUCUUGACUCCCCCCCCAGACUUUUGGCUGGUUUCAGUGAGCAGUCAGAUGCUUACAGGGACUCUGCCCAUCCACAUGCACACAAAUGACCUCUUUCCUUUGGGUCGUUUAUCCAGAUUAGGAAAUAUCUUUGGAUCAAGCCUUGUCUUGCAAAGACAAAGAGUUGCAGACUUUAGUUAUUAUUUCAGCUCUCUAGUUGGUAAAACAGUCUGAUGCUUCUGGGUGCCUCGAGCACAA
This is a long non-coding RNA of Pogoniulus pusillus (Red-fronted tinkerbird), 1376 nucleotides long. RefSeq lists it as uncharacterized. The transcript is spliced from 2 exons. The record is from RefSeq and is a predicted model, not a curated record. NCBI's taxonomy places the organism in Eukaryota, Metazoa, Chordata, Aves, Piciformes, Lybiidae.